AUGUGAUAAUAGUAAUAGAUGAAGAAUGAAGAUAAAAGAUACUAAUAUAAGUGAAGAUAGAAAGAUAGUUAAGAAUAAUGAUAGCAGUAAUAAAUGAAGAUAGAGAUACCAAUAUAAUAAGUAAAGAGAUAUAGAUAAACAAGAUAGAGGUAAGAUCGUAACAAUAAGCAAAUGAAUUAAAGAUAAAAUAAGUGAAAAAAAAAGAUAAUUAUAAGGAAAGUAAAGAUAUAUAGAGAAACAAGAUAGAGGGAAGAUCGUAACAAUAAGCGAAUGAACUGGAGAAUAAGCGCAGGAAUGGCUGGACCAAAAAGAAUGAUAUAUAUAAGUAUGUCUUUUUGUAUUUCCUUUGAUUCUCGACACAGCAAACAAACAGACAAACGAACAAACGAAGGGACUAGGUAACACUCAAAAUCUCUCUCUCUCUCUCUCUCUCUCUCUCUCUCUC
Molecule: long non-coding RNA, 445 nt
Organism: Eriocheir sinensis (Chinese mitten crab)
Lineage: Eukaryota; Metazoa; Arthropoda; Malacostraca; Decapoda; Varunidae
Exons: 2
Source: RefSeq, a predicted model, not a curated record